AGAGAGCCUAGAAAAUAUCACCUAGUGAAUAUCUACUUCCAUGAGGUGGAUAUUGAGGGAGAAACAGAAAAAUCCAAGACAAUCCCUUGUGGAAGAAAAUUCUCCAACCCAAAACUCAACCGAACUCAAAGGGCUGAACAGCGCGUCAAUUAAGACCUGUCAAAUAUAAUCACACGAUCUAAUAGUUUUAAAUACGCAAAAUAAAGAGCACCAAAGUAAAUGUCAUUCAGAAAUAACAACAACAAAACCAGAGCACCCCGAUGCAUUUAGGCCUCAAGGAAUUCCAAAGUAGUGUAUUAGGUAUAGUAAAUAUAUAUGUAAUUAGAAAUGUUUAGAGAAAUUAGAGAGAUGUGUUUUUUUUAAAAGAUUUGGCCUAUAAAACAGUUAACAAUUCCAGUAAAGAAGAAAACAGAAAUUCAAUGUUUGAUAUACAUACAUAAAAAUAAAUUUCAGGAAAAGUCCGUGUGAUAACAGAAUCCAAAUUAUAUAAAAGAUAGAAAUCUCAAUGUUUGUUUUUACACAUUUUAAGGAAAAAACAACCCUGAAAGCACAAA
Molecule: long non-coding RNA, 554 nt
Filed under: Homo sapiens (human)
Lineage: Eukaryota; Metazoa; Chordata; Mammalia; Primates; Hominidae
Description: non-protein coding lnc-TUBB8P12-2:1
Source: RNAcentral